RNAcentral lists this ribosomal RNA (384 nucleotides) under Triticum aestivum (bread wheat). RNAcentral's name for it is "partial small subunit ribosomal RNA". Lineage: Eukaryota; Viridiplantae; Streptophyta; Magnoliopsida; Poales; Poaceae. The record is from RNAcentral.
AUGUAUAUAUAUAACAACUCUCAUCGCAAUACUAGAAUUCUGUUUUUGGCACAGAACUGUCAGGAAUCAAUCAAUGUUGGAUUCUCGCACGAGGUGGCAAACGAAAGGUGUAUAAUUGUCAAACUAAAUAGGCCUGACAGUGUUCCAUUUUCAACAUACCCAGCAACAACGGUUCAGUUAGUACCAAAGGUUCAGCAACAAGUUGACUACCUUGGUGAGGACGAUCUCUUCCAGAUCGGAGUCCGAGAGCCCAACAGCAACACAGAAGACCGGAACAGAGUCCGAGAGCCCAACAGCAACACAGAAGACCGGAACAGAGUCCGAGAGCCCACUUACUCCUUGGUGCCCUUCAUGUGCGCGCGUCGUCAGUCUCCUACUCCUUGA